AGUGAACGCUGGCGGUAGGCCUAACACAUGCAAGUCGAACGGCAGCACAGUAAGAGCUUGCUCUUACGGGUGGCGAGUGGCGGACGGGUGAGGAAUACAUCGGAAUCUACUUUUUCGUGGGGGAUAACGUAGGGAAACUUACGCUAAUACCGCAUACGACCUACGGGUGAAAGCAGGGGAUCUUCGGACCUUGCGCGAUUGAAUGAGCCGAUGUCGGAUUAGCUAGUUGGCGGGGUAAAGGCCCACCAAGGCGACGAUCCGUAGCUGGUCUGAGAGGAGGAUCAGCCACACUGGAACUGAGACACGGUCCAGACUCCUACGGGAGGCAGCAGUGGGGAAUAUUGGACAAUGGGCGCAAGCCUGAUCCAGCCAUACCACGUGGGUGAAGAAGGCCUUCGGGUUGUAAAGCCCUUUUGUUGGGAAAGAAAAGCAGCAGGUUAAUACCCCGCUGUUCUGACGGUACCCAAAGAAUAAGCACCGGCUAACUUCGUG
RNAcentral lists this ribosomal RNA (492 nucleotides) under uncultured bacterium. RNAcentral's name for it is "partial 16S ribosomal RNA". It matches the Rfam family "Bacterial small subunit ribosomal RNA", at positions 29 to 507 of the family's 1533-position model. The record is from RNAcentral.